Molecule: ribosomal RNA, 430 nt
Filed under: uncultured bacterium
Lineage: Bacteria
Description: partial 16S ribosomal RNA
Rfam family: Bacterial small subunit ribosomal RNA
Source: RNAcentral
GUGGGGAAUAUUGCACAAUGGGCGCAAGCCUGAUGCAGCAACGCCGCGUGAGGGAUGACGGCCUUCGGGUUGUAAACCUCUUUUAGUAGGGAAGAAGCGAAAGUGACGGUACCUGCAGAAAAAGCACCGGCUAACUACGUGCCAGCAGCCGCGGUAAUACGUAGGGUGCAAGCGUUGUCCGGAAUUAUUGGGCGUAAAGAGCUCGUAGGCGGCUUGUCGCGUCUGCUGUGAAAUCCCGGGGCUCAACCCCGGGCCUGCAGUGGGUACGGGCAGGCUAGAGUGCGGUAGGGGAGAUUGGAAUUCCUGGUGUAGCGGUGGAAUGCGCAGAUAUCAGGAGGAACACCGAUGGCGAAGGCAGAUCUCUGGGCCGCUACUGACGCUGAGGAGCGAAAGCAUGGGGAGCGAACAGGAUUAGAUACCCUGGUAGUCC